This is a small nuclear RNA of Sphaerodactylus townsendi, 104 nucleotides long. The record is from RefSeq and is a predicted model, not a curated record. Lineage: Eukaryota; Metazoa; Chordata; Lepidosauria; Squamata; Sphaerodactylidae.
GUGCUCGCUUUGGCAGCACAUGUACUAAAAUUGGAACGAUACAGAGAAGAUUAGCAUGGCCCCUGCGCAAGGAUGAAUGGACGGACGGACGGCAAUCUGUUCUU